GUUUAAUUCGAUACAACGCGCAGAACCUUACCAGCCCUUGACAUAUGAACGAGAAACCCUAUCCUUAACGGGAUGGUACUGACUUUCAUACAGGUGCUGCAUGACUCUCGUCAGCUCGUGUCGUGAGAUGUUUGGUUAAGUCCUAUAACGAGCGAAACCCUCGCCUUGUGUUGCUCAGACAUGCGCCUAAGGAGAAAGGUUGUGCAAACCGAAGUAAGCCAAGUAGCCGAGUGAUGUGCCAGACCUAGGAAUUGAGUGACA
Molecule: non-coding RNA, 261 nt
Filed under: Brassica napus (rape)
Lineage: Eukaryota; Viridiplantae; Streptophyta; Magnoliopsida; Brassicales; Brassicaceae
Description: rRNA SSU_rRNA_eukarya
Rfam family: Bacterial small subunit ribosomal RNA
Source: Rfam by way of RNAcentral